GUGGGGAAUUUUGGACAAUGGGCGCAAGCCUGAUCCAGCAAUGCCGCGUGCAGGAAGAAGGCCUUCGGGUUGUAAACUGCUUUUGUCAGGGAAGAAAUCUUCUGGGCUAAUACCCCGGGAGGAUGACGGUACCUGAAGAAUAAGCACCGGCUAACUACGUGCCAGCAGCCGCGGUAAUACGUAGGGUGCGAGCGUUAAUCGGAAUUACUGGGCGUAAAGCGUGCGCAGGCGGCUUUGCAAGACAGAUGUGAAAUCCCCGGGCUCAACCUGGGAACUGCAUUUGUGACUGCAAGGCUAGAGUACGGCAGAGGGGGAUGGAAUUCCGCGUGUAGCAGUGAAAUGCGUAGAUAUGCGGAGGAACACCAAUGGCGAAGGCAAUCCCCUGGGCCUGUACUGACGCUCAUGCACGAAAGCGUGGGGAGCAAACAGGAUUAGAUACCCUGGUAGUCC
Molecule: ribosomal RNA, 450 nt
Filed under: uncultured bacterium
Lineage: Bacteria
Description: partial 16S ribosomal RNA
Rfam family: Bacterial small subunit ribosomal RNA
Source: RNAcentral